UGCAUAUAUAUUUAGGAUUGUCAUCUCUUCCUCUUGGAUUGUUCCCUUCACAAAGAUGUAGUGACCAUCUUUGUCUCUCUUAAUUAGUUUUGGUUUGAAAUCUAGAUUGUCUGCAAAUAAGAUUGCUACCCCUGCUUUCUUCUGGGUGCCUGUGGCAUGAAGAACUGUUUUCCAUCCUUUUACUUUCAGUCUAUGAAUUUCUUUUUGAGUUAGGUGUGUAUUUUUUGUGUACAGCAUAUUGUUGGAUUUUGCUUCUUAAUCCAUUCUGUCAGUCUAUUUCUUUUGAUUGGUGAAUUGAGGCCAUUAGCAUUGAUGGUUAUAAUUGGUAAAUAUUGACUUAUCUUUGUCAUGAUGUUUUAUUGGUGUUGGCUGUUUUAUUUUUUAUCCUCCUGCCUUUCCCUUUAGUUUCUUGCCUUGCCUGGUGGCUUUGCUCUGUUGGGCCUCAUGGAGUUGUGGCCUUCAUUUUCUUUUUCUAGGAUAUUGCUUAGAAUUGUUUGGAGAGUGGAUUUGGUGUUCAUGAAAUUUCUCAGGUGUUCUUUGUCAUGGAAGUAUCUAAUUUCCCCAUCGAUUUUGAAAGAUAAUUUUGUAGGAUACAACAGUCUAGGUUGGAAGUUAUUUCCUUUCAGGCCUUGAAAUACUUUGCUCCAUGCUCUUCUUAACUUGAGGGUUUGUGUUGAGAAGUCUUCUGUGAUUCUUAUAGGCUUUCCUUUGUAGGUGAUUUGUUUCUUUUCUCUAACUGCUUGUAGGAUUUUGUUCUUCUGUUGAGUUUCUGGGAUCUUGACUAUUAUAUGUCUAGGUGUAGCUUGUUUUGAUCAUGGAUAGUUGGAGUUCUAUAUGCCUCACUUAUCUGUAUAUCAAAUUCACUACCUCUGGGAAAUUUUCAUCUAUUACUUCUGUGAAAAGUUGUUUUAUUUCAUUUGUACUUUCUCCUGCUUAUGUUGUUUUUCUUUGGGUUUUUUUCUGCAUUUUCUUAUGUCAUUUUUCUUUGCACCACCUAGCAGUUGCUGGAUUAAUUUCUCAUGGUCCCUUACUAUUUUGAAGAAAUCUCUGUAUUUAUGGUCAAUAACUAUAGUCCUGUCUUCUAUAUCUGAUAUUCUAUCUUCACAUUCAUUCAAUCUGCUGUGAAUACUUUCAAUGGAGUUUUUAAUCUCCUGGAUAUCUAUUUGAAUUUGUUUCAUGGGUUCCAUUUCUUUCCUAUGUUUGGUGAUCAUGGUUUCCAUUUCUUUCUUAUGCUGGCUUCCAGCAUGGUUGUGAGCUCAUCUAUUUCUUUAUCUGUUUCUGUUCUAGAGCCUCUAGUCCUGUCUUUCAUUCUGCUCACCAUCUCUGUAGUUAUCUGAGAAAUUAUUUCUGUUUUGAAUUUUUCUAGAGCUUCAUUCUUCUGUUUUGUUACUUCCUGUGCUAUCAGUUCAGCAUGUCCAGGUGGUUGAUUAUCAUAUUUUGCCACCUUCUUUCCCCCAGAAUUUGCCUUUGGUGAGCUGGAAGUCUGUGUUUGUGUCUUUCCA
RNAcentral lists this long non-coding RNA (1502 nucleotides) under Heterocephalus glaber (naked mole-rat). Its description in RNAcentral is "lncRNA (ENSHGLG00100051042.1)". The record is from RNAcentral. Lineage: Eukaryota; Metazoa; Chordata; Mammalia; Rodentia; Bathyergidae.